GAGUCCUUGCCCAAGUUGUUAGCUUCUUUCCACAUAGUUGCUUAUUUGAAUGUCCAUCUUUGAUGAACAUGACCAUAAAAAACUGUCCUGAAAUGAGGACAUUCCUCACUUCUCCAUGCCCGAAAGAGAAAUUGUCCAAUCCGGUGGGUGAAAGAAGCAAAAGAGCGUGCGAGGAUAGUGGUGACAUUAACAUCCCUCAAGAACCCUUCUUCUGUGAAAAGGUUCUGUUCCCUAGCUUGCAAAUAUUGGUGCUUUCCCACAUGGAGAGCUUGAGCAUCAUAUGGCAUGACCUACUUGCAGAGAAGUCGUUUGAUCAACUGAGGGAUGUCAAGAUCGAUCAUUGCAAAAAGCUGAUGAGAAUAUUUCCGCCCCAAAACCACCCUUGAAAGAUUCAGGAAUCUGGAGAAGCUGCGUAUAGCUUAUUGUGAUUCAUUGGAAGGGUUGUUUGACAUUGCCGGGCGGUGCCAUGAUCCUGUAGUAAAGAUGUCGUUGAGAAAACUGUGUCUGUCUAAUUUGCCAAAGCUACUGAGUAUUUGCAAUGCAGAUAUUGGCGGAACCAUCAGCUUUGACGACCUGAAGCCCGUGCAAGUUAUUGCAUGUCCGAAACUUGAAAUUUCCAGGGGGAUUGCCUUUACACGAGAAGAAAGUCAGGAUCUAGAAGAAAGUUCAGAGGCAGACUCCUCUGGCGACUGAAACUCAGGAUAUUGAUGGCAGUGUCUUCUUUGAAGACCUGAAGCCAGUGCUAGUUAUUGAAUGCCCAAAUCUCAAAAAUUUAGGGGGAUUGGCUUUGUUACUGAAUUGAUGCAAAAGAAGGAGAUGAAGAAUAAUUGUCGCUCAUACUUCUACAUUCUUGUAGCUUUAGGAAAGAUGUCUAUUUAUAGAUGGUUGUGAUGAAGGAACAUUUUGCUCUAGUCAACACAUACAUCAUUUUGUUCAAUUUCUUCGUUGCUAUCGGACCAAUUGUUGCGAGACCUCACUCGCAAUUAUACUUAACUACCAUUACCUCCUGCAUUGUCAAUUUCUUGUAUACUGAACAUGUAUCUAUAUGUUAUAUACAGUGGCAUAUGGAUACAUUUUGUUA
Non-coding RNA from Punica granatum (pomegranate), 1081 nucleotides. The record is from RefSeq and is a predicted model, not a curated record. NCBI's taxonomy places the organism in Eukaryota, Viridiplantae, Streptophyta, Magnoliopsida, Myrtales, Lythraceae.